AUGGACAGACAGACAAACCUAGGCCCUGCUAGGUAAACUGAAGAAUAUAUUUUCUUAAGAUAGUUAUUCUGAAAAGCAUUAUGAACUUUGAUAUCACAAAGCAGACAAUAGCUGGGGUAGCCUAGGAUACGUGUUCUUUGAGGCACUUUGUUGCCACAUUGAAAUUGUUUCAGCAAAAAAAUGAAGGAAUGUCAUAUUUUACAACAAAAUGUUGUCUAAAAUGACUGGAAAGGCUUACAGUAAUUAUCAGUUUUAUCCUGUAUGGCAACAUUCCAGAUAUUUUCCUGUUGUAUUUUCUUUCAGGAGUCCUCAAGAUUGUCAUCUGUAACACAUAGCUGUAUAGGAACUGUUGAAUCAUGGCCUGAACCUCUGAUUGAUCACCUGAGGCAAGCACUGAGUCAGCCCUGGGGCGCAGGUGAAGACAAUUCUCCUAGACCCCAUUUAAGGGCUGACUGCCACUGAGGAAGGAUCUCUCUCUAGAGAUUGCUCCCCUUGGACCUUUUUCUGUGAGCCCAGGACACGGGAGUUGUCCCUUCAGCUAUGAACACCCUGUAUCACUGCACUCAUUUUAGAAGAAAAGAAAUACCUGCACAGAAUGAAUCCAGACUCACCGUACCCAUCUCCACAGCUGUGACGUCUGGUUCCACUCCCUCAGCCCAGUAGAUCAGAUUGCCUAAAGCCCCAUCCAACCUGGCCUUGAACACUUGCAGGGAUGGGGCAGCUUCUCUGUGCCACUGUCUCACAACUCUCACAGUGAAGAAUUUAUCCCUGUCAUCUCAUCUGAACAUAUCAUCUUGUAAUUUAAAGCCAUUACCCUCAGAUCAGUUCAAACUGAUCAUCAUACCUAACUGAACUCAGAAGAACUUCUUCAGCUGCGUUUAGCUUUGAACAUCACUGCCCUAUUUAGAAGCUGAAGAAAGGACUGAGAGUUCUCCCUUCUGUAGCCAUUGGUCUGUGGAAGAUGUUCCUCCUCCCUUCCUUUUGUCCUUGGACUUUUAUGGUGAUAAGAACUAUUGUCAGAGAAAUGACAUUGUUUGGGAUGACAUCAUUUGAAUGAUUGCUCUUCCUCUGUUUCAUUUUUAGGUUGUACUUAGUGUCAGUAACAGACUUAAGCUUUACUAACGCUGAAUCCCAAGUGCAGCGGAAGUCAAGGCUGUGAGGUUAGGAUAACUGGCUAACCAUUACCUCUGAGGAUCAGCAAGAGGCUGCUGGGUUUCCUGCGUGGAAACUCUACAGAAAAACUAACAUAGAUUUGAGUCUGAUGAAAGAAGAAAAAGCCCAGAUUACUAGCACAGUACUGAAGAGAAAUGGAAUAGUAGUAAAUAACUUCCAGAGGGCAUUUACUUGAAAACUGCUGGCCCAGAAUUGGGUAAAAUGAAGGGAUUCAUGUAUGCAGGACUUAUUGGCCUGGAGGAGCUGUGAAGCUGCUGUGUCUCCUCUUUCAGGGCCACCUUCAGCACAAAGGUUUCCUGGGUGUCUCCAAGCUGCUGGUGUGGCCUUCACUGUCCCUAGAGGUGCAUGUAUGUCAUGCCUGGUGUGGAUCAGAGAAGUGGGCUCCUCUUGCUCUGUACUGCUGAGCACCUACGUGAUUCAUAUUGGUCUAUGGGAUGUAGCUGUCCUCCUUACGCACAAUGACUGUGAUGGCAGCUGCCUUCAGACGGGCUGGGAGAAGACACUGAAGUAUAUGAGUUGCAUGAUUACACCUUUCUCCUCUUCCAGUCCACAGCAAGUUUGAAUUGAGAAACGUAACAUUUGCCUGCUUCACUUACACCAUGUCCUAACUGAAACAAGGAAAUCCCAUGCAAUUGCCCUUCUUCAUCUCAUCAGUUUGGUUGUUUGAAACUAAUAUCAGACACUACUAGUUUUGAUAGCACAUACUGUAGUGGGGCCAGAGACUGUUCAUCAGAAAAUGGACUGUGAGCAAAUCAUGUCAAGUGACUCCUGGUGAGGUGCUAUAUAACAAUAACUCUCUCUCAAUUACUCUACUGAGAAGAGUUAGAGGACAGAAAUGUGCAAACCUAUAAGGUACCAUUGAGAGAAAGAAACACAGCUCCUCUGAGAUUUCUUCUUUGUCCUGGAUGAAAUCUUCAUUAAUGCUUUGAUAGACUAGAUAUAAAGUCUGAGCGAUUUCUCUUUAUGGACCAGAUCUCCAAUUCUUGUUUUAUGAGUUUCCUCCCAGGCAGAGCUGCUUGGGCUGCUUCAUUAGCGUCUUGUCAGAAAAACAGUUGGGAGGACAUUAAUCUGAAGCUCAAAUGCCAUGUCGGUGAGCAAGCAGGGGGCUGUGCUGCAGAUUUCAGAAUGUACUUGGUGGAAGAAAUGCAAAGACAUCUUUUAUCGGUGAGAGAAUCUUAAAGUUUUACGUAUAAACAUUUCAGUCCUUUAUUUACAUACGAUCUUAAAAUAGUUUACAGUAGGUGCCAUCUGUGAAGGACUCUUUGUUAAUCUCAUGCUGUGGAUAAAUGUGUUAGAACAAAACUUUACUUUCAUAGCAAAUAUGUGGAUUCUAACUUAUGAAUUAGUUAGGCAAGUGAAGAGAAAGGCAACUCCUCCGGGAGCUAAUGACAGCAAGGCAUUUUUGGAGCCCCACCCAGAGUGCAGAACACAUUGCUUAGUAGCAGUGCACAGUGGGAGAGCCCUUUUUAUUGGCAUGCAAAAAAUUGUAAUUUUUGCCUGCAAUUAUCAUCUAUGUGAAGUCACUUCCUCUCACCACAGUGCAAUAAAUCAGUGUGCUCAGGAAACUGAUGUGGGUUAAAAUCAUAGAAUUGUUUGAGGGGCAUUUAAAGGCCAUCUGAUCCAACUCUCCUGCAAUGAACAGG
This is a non-coding RNA of Phasianus colchicus (ring-necked pheasant), 2816 nucleotides long. NCBI's taxonomy places the organism in Eukaryota, Metazoa, Chordata, Aves, Galliformes, Phasianidae. The record is from RefSeq and is a predicted model, not a curated record.